Molecule: ribosomal RNA, 406 nt
Filed under: uncultured bacterium
Lineage: Bacteria
Description: partial 16S ribosomal RNA
Rfam family: Bacterial small subunit ribosomal RNA
Source: RNAcentral
AUUGAACGCUGGCGGCAGGCCUAACACAUGCAAGUCGAACGAGUGGCGGACGGGUGAGUAAUGUCUGGGAAACUGCCUGAUGGAGGGGGAUAACUACUGGAAACGGUAGCUAAUACCGCAUACCAUCAGAUGUGCCCAGAUGGGAGUAGAUUGUUGGUGGGGUAACGGCUCACCAAGGCGACGCUCCCCAGCUGGUCUGAGAGGAUGACCAGCCACAGUGGAACUGAGACACGGUCCAGACGCCUACGGUAGGAAGCAGUGGGUAAGAUGGCACAAUGGGCGCAAGCCUGAUGCAGCCAGGCCGCGUGUAUGAAGAAGGCCUUCGGGUUGUAAAGUACUUUCAGCGGGGAGGCGUUACCCGCAGAAGAAGCACCGGCUAACUCCGUGCCAGCAGCCGCGGUAAUUC